Molecule: long non-coding RNA, 8366 nt
Organism: Numida meleagris (helmeted guineafowl)
Lineage: Eukaryota; Metazoa; Chordata; Aves; Galliformes; Numididae
Exons: 9
Source: RefSeq, a predicted model, not a curated record
GAAAAUGGGCAUUCAAUGCAAUUUUGCACAGAGCCCUUUCUCUUGAAAAUAAGAAUAACAAUAGCUAGCUUGUAUGCAACAUUUUACAUCAAGAGAUUUCAAAAUCCUUUACAAAAGUAGUCAAUUACAUUUGCUUUGUUUAUUUGAAUAGCAAAGUGUAGAAACUUGAAGUUUCCAAAAAGACUGUCUUGGAACCUGGAAUACAGCGGAGAUCUCCUGAGUCCCAGUCAGCUGGCCAUCAAAUCUACAGAAAUGAUAUGAUUUACCAGAUAUAGCCUAAGCCUCUGAAGAAUGUCUGUUAGAUCUGCUUGUUAUGAAGUCAGUGUAGAAGUCUGCUGUGGAAAGUAAUUGUAAUUGGAUACUUGAGUAUAAUUUUCUCAAAGGCAACUUGCAAAAAAAGGCAUAUUUUUAAAUAAGAAUUAUUUUUAUGUGUUUUUUAUGACUGUUUCACAUCCAGAUAUUCAAUUUUUGUUUGCCUUGAAAGCCUCUUUAAUUUUGUCUGUAUCAUAGUGGGAGAAAAACAGCCCUUGGUAACAGACUAUCAUUAAUUCAUAUGAAUCAUGGAAUAGUGCUGUUGUGAGACUUGUUAUAGGCUGAACUCCCAAACUCAUUUUUAUCACCAUUUUAAUUAAAAGGUUUCAAGGAACAAGGUAGCAAAAAAUGUCAAGCAAGAAGGGGUGCUGGAACCACUGGGAAUUGUCUUCCCUAGUAUUCUUUAAACAGUCCAGACUACCUAACGAGUUAAAAAUGAAAACUUCUGUGAUUUUUCAGUGAAUUGUUUAAGAAAUUUCCACUCUUCUCCCACAACUAACCUAUCAGGGUAAGAUGGACUGUGACUCUUGUAUAUCAAGACAAUGUAUAUCUCAGUGUACCAACUCAGUAAUGUUGAGAAUGAAGUGAUCUUCAUUGGAGGUUCAGUCUCUAGCUUUUCAGCAAAAGCAAUAACUUUUGAAAAUAAACAUUUCCUAUAACAAUGUUCUUUUCAGAUCUACUAUUCUAAUACCUUCAGUUUUUACCACUUUCCUAAGACAUGACAAAACAGACUAAGUGUUCAGUUGGCCAGAAAGUAAGUGGCUUAUUUACUUAAGAGUCAGAUCUGCGGGAGGUCACGUCCCAUGUACCAGUGUAUGUUAUGUAGAGCUAAGGCUAAGUGUCUAGUCAUCAGUCCCAACAGUGACCUUCCAGUACGCCACCAUGUGUGGCCUCAAGAACAUGUUUCACAAAAAUUCUUCAUAAAGGUAUGAUUAUAAUACUUAAGUAAAUUAUGAUAGUUCUUUAACCACUGAACAUCAGGGUUGUUUUUUUGUUGUUGUUGUUUGGUUUUCUGUUUUCGUGUGUGCUUGUUUGUUUCUGUGGGAUAGGACAAAAUCACAGCACCAGCAUGAACUGCUUAAUAGCUAGGCCAAAGUAGUUUGAAUUUUGUUCCCUUCUUUUUCAGAAAAAUGUUGUUUUUAUACGUUAGUAUAAACAAGCAGAUCUCCAAGAAAAUUUCUCACAGAUGAUAAAUUUGCAGCAUUCAACUAUGAGGAAAAUAUCUAGAAAAACAAUUUAUUAUUUGAGAUUAUAUUAUCUGUGCUUGACUGUUUGCUUGGUAUAAAAUUUUAUCCAGGCAAAACCAUUCUGCUUUAUUUUUUCUUAAGUGUCAAUUUAUCUUGAAAGCAAUAUUUUGUUUGUGUGAACUAUAUGAAGUGAGAGAUUGCUACUUUAACCAUGUUAAAGAAAAAAUUAGGAAUAAAAUUUAAAGGAGGAACAAAUGGUGCAAACUUAGGCCGAAAGAAGGGCCUGGAGGAGAGAUGCACUUAAAAAUGCAGUUGAUGGUUUUGUAUAUAAAACUUAACACAACAGUUAUAAAGAUAAAAAUGAGUAGUGGAAACAAUCCCGCUUUCCUUUGAAGUUGAACAUAUUUUCACUACCCAGACCCUUCAUUUCAUAGGAAGUUUCCUGUAAUGAAAUAUGCAAAGAAAGUAUAUUGCAAGUGCUUUCAGCAGGACAGAUAUGAGACAUCAUAGUUCCACUCUUUGUAUUAACUCAUGUUGCAAAAGAGUGUCCAUUAUCCUCUGCAUAAAGUUGUUCAUUGGCCUGAUAAAUGGACCAUGGCAGGUAGUCAUGAGAAAGAAUAAAAUAUUGUGGCAUGCAAUAUUCAUGUCAGCUGGGUUGUAUUAUAUUACUGCUCCUUGAUACCAAUGUACUAUGGCCAAACGUUUUAAGGCUCUACUUAAAGUUAGAUUUUUUAUUUCCUGAGGAACUUGGUGUUACUCAACAGCAUUCAUCUAAUUUGGUGACUGAACUGAGCAAUACCCCAAAGGUAAGCAAAAUUGAGAAGCAGUAAGUUGCAAUAAAAAGCAAAUGCUUCUGCAAUUGAACUAUAUUAAUAUUAUAGUAAAUUGAUUCAGUCAGAAUCUUCUCUGGACACUUUUGUGAAAUCACCUAUCAAUCACUGGCUAAGGCUGAGGAUGAACGACAAAUUAAAAAUUUUUUUAUGCCCUAGGCAUACUUUCACUCAUUUUACUUUGAUACCACUGUUACGUGAACCAUCUUCUUUCCUUUUAAUGAUCUACGAUAAGAUAAAAACAGUCCAGUCUUUUUCUCCCUUCUCCCUUCGGGAAUAUUCUGGCCCAAGAUGUUCAAAGAUGGCUGCCUGAGAGUAGGUAGGGCCUCAUUGUUCUGGUAAGAAACAUACAGAUGUUUCAAAUGAUUGUCGGACAGCAGCAUUAGCUACCAGUCACAUACAAAAUUAAUUUAAAAAGGAGACCUUUUUAUUUAUUAAAAGUAUUCACAAUCUGAAGCAGCCUUGCUCUCCCCAGUGUCACUGACAGAAGCCCCCAAAAGCAUCAAGGGCAGUGACAGAGGUGUCUUCUCAGCUUGGAUGAGAGGGCGAUUCUUACCUUUCCUUCAUCUGUGACCUCAGGCUUUCACGGGAGAGAAACAGGAGCAAAAGCAAGGAGAGUCACAGAGGCCAGAGAGAAAUAUUGUCUUGAGGUUUUCAGAAUUUGCUUGCCUUGACCUUUCAAGGUAGAAUGGGAAGAAGAGGAUGAGGUUAUGUUCCAUGGCAUUGCGUCAUGGAGAAAGCAAAUGGUCACUGUGUUUGGAAUAGGAAACUGAAGGCAUCAUGAGGAUAUCACAGCAUUAGUUACAAGCUAUUUGUGACCAAGAAGUCAACGUGUCUUUGGGCAGAUUGUACUUGGAUGAGCCAGUGGAGACCUCAGGAACAGAGAAAAGGGGUCCUGAAGUCGUCCUUGUUCCAUAAAGCUGAGAGUCAGAUUUUUAAAGAAAAUGAAAGCCAAGAUUGGACAACAAGGAAUGGUGUAUACAGGGGAUUCAGAAAUGAAACAAACACCAUUGAAAAUUAAAUGUAAGGGUCUGAUUCAUUGCUACCAUUCGUAUCAGCUGAGAACAAUUUCAUUAAAAUCUACAGGUAAGUUAUCAACCUCCCAAACUCAUGUAGUCCAUUGAAAAUUCUGCCAGGAUCCUCACUGGAAAGGGAAGAGCUACAAUCGUAUGCAAGUAAGAGCAAAUGUAAGCCCUGUCAUUUGACCAGACUGAAAAUUAGAUAAUGUCCUCAGCUGUUAUAAAUGUCAUGGUUUUGCUUUGGUUUUUUUUUCCUUGAAGAAAUACUGAUUUGGCUGUCUGAUGAAAUGAAACUUCAAGGCUGAAUUUCAGAUCUAACUUAGACUUCAGUGGAAAAAAAAAGAUGCCCGCAUGAUCUGAACAGUUAUAUUCAUUUUAGAUGCAUAAAUGUUUAUUCAUAAAAGGGUAAAAUCCAUUUAUUUUGUUCUGUUUUUGAAUAUGUGUCACAUGGUCUGUUUGCAAGCUUAUGCUUCUAUUAAGGUGCCUAAAUACUUAGAGAAUUUGCAGACCCCAAUGUGUGGCUCUGCAAACUCCUAAAUAAGUUAUCAUUGGCUUCAUGAAGCAGCUUCUCCACUGUAACUGAGCAAAUGAUCAGCUCCAGGAUGAAAAGACCAUAAAAACUAGUGAUACAAUACUCUUUAUUACAAAAAAAACCUGAACUCAGCACAAGUAAAAAUUAUUUAUGAAAGGAAGGGUACUGCUACUCAAAGCUUAAAUUAACCAAUUCCUUUUUAGAAACUGUUCUUUAAUGGGUAGUUGUAAAACUGAGGAUACCUUUGGUUCCCUCUUGCUGUUCCCCCUUCAUGGUAGGUGAUAUUACAAGUCAAUGUUUUAAUUUUAAAUGCAUGGCUUGAAUACGCUAGGUAUACCGCCAUAGAUCUUCCACUGCACAGCUAGAGUUAACUAGAAAAGUUAGUUCCACCCUCAGAUAAGAGACUGUCCUGACUGUUCUUCUCUGCAGAUAUGAGAAAACAAAGGCUAUGACCUGAGUAACUCAGUAUAUUGUACAAAGAUCCAGAGGUUCGCAAAUCCUUACCUUGCUUGCUUCCAUGGCUACUCUGGGAUAACAUUUUGUUUUUACAGUCCCUUUACUGAUGCAAUCCUUCUGCAGCGUAGACACUCCACAGCUGUGGAAGCCAAAAACCUUUAUCUAUCCACAGAACAGAUAAACAGCAGCAAUGAAAGUUUCUCCACCCUGUGUUUUGCAGAGACUAUGCCAGCGUGCAGGCUAGCAGCACUGUGCUCCAUACCACUUCUGCUACUGGUUCAUGGGUGCCACAGCACCACUGAAAGUCUCAAGAGAUGAUGCUAUUACUACAACCCCUACUAUUUAUUUUUUAUCUAUGAAAGGGAAUGAAAAUACGUGUUUUGCUUACACAGUCCUCUGAAGAUCCAUUAGGUGGUACUGAUGGUGCUUUCGGCUGCUGGCAUCUGUUCUAGCUGCGGUUUGAGUAAGGGACCUGGAAGGUAGAAGGUUUUCAAAACCUGUCUGCUUGCCAGUCCCCUGAGUUAUCCUGUCUACGCUGGUAUCAACGUAUUGAAAGAUGCGUGAUACCAAUCAGCCAGCCAGGUGCAGAGUGACAGUUUACUGAAUGAGACAAGCAUGUGAGCAUGAAGUAAAGAUGCAGAAUUUCUCUUGCGAGGCCUUUUAAACACUCUUACUGAAUUAUGGUUUUUCAAAUAAUGUUAGUGAAAAGCUUUUGGAAAGUGUUCUGUGCUGUUCCCUCAUAGCCCUCCUCCAUAGGCAUUUAGCAAUCCACAGCAUUGUGGAGAAAAGAUAAAUGCUCUGAGUGCGUCUUUCUUUUUUAGAAAAGACAGAACUUUAAAGGAUGUUAAAAGGAGAUAUAAUCAUAUCAUGUAUAAUUCUACUUAAUGUAGUUUCCUCCACAAGUGUUAUUCUACAUUUCUUUCUUUGACAAUAUUUCUUUUAAGUGCCAGUGUUCUGAAUGGGACUAUGAGCGAGGCUGCCACACGUAACCCAUCCUGAGCAGAAGUUGGGUCAAAAUGCUAACUCCGGUAUUCUGCUAGCUUUUUGUUGUUAUUGUUUGCAUGUCUGAUAAAGGCAAAAUCGCACACACAAUCAAAAUGUCCCUUCUGGUGUGAGCUGCUCCCACAUCCUUUUCCUUCUUUGCUCAGAGCUUUUAAAGAGUUCAUUUUUAUGGGACUUGGGAGUUGAGCCUCCUAUUUUUGGCACACCAUCCAUACUUCUGACUUUGCAAGGAAAGGGUUUGAGCUUAUAAGGAGUAUUGAUUGAUAUUACAGGGUAUGUGAGUUGUGCCCAGAUCCAAAUACUCAAGAGUGCUGAAGGCUUGCAGUUUCUGGGUAUACACCCUGUUCUCUGCAGCAAGCAACAACCAGAAGGCUGUCUCUGUGAAAAUGUACUCCCUACCCUUGGCAUCCUUUCAGUCAGGCAGAAGCCUUGCAUAGUCCAAGUCCUCCAAAGCAUCCACUGCUUUGCUGUCACAGAGGCCAGUUUAUCAGACAGUAAAGGUGAUGACAGCUCUUUAAAGUUACUCAAGAUACACAUGGAUUUACUCUAGUUAAGGACUUGGCCCAGAUUCUUUUUUUGUUUGUUUGUUUUAAUGCAUUAACAGAUGGCAAAUAUGCACUGAACGUGGCCAAACUACUGGUUUUUGAGGGCAAUGACUGCUUGCUAUGCUAAUUUGAGGUUUUACUUUAUGCAAGCUAACCUGGAGGGACACAGUUCAGAGUUGGGUAGAAGAAGCAGAAAGACUCAAGCUGCAAAGUGCAGAGCUGGAUAUCAGUAACCCAUUUAAAGCUGGGGUGUGGAUGCAGGGGUGUGUGUGUGCUCAUUCUGAAGAAAUUCAGAAAACAAGGUAGGAGGAGAUGUUAAGAGAUCUCCUACUUCAUACAUUUAUCUCAUUCAUUCAUGUCAAGAUGAAGUCACUAGCACAACGUAGAUCUCAGUUCAGUAUUCAAGCACCUUCCCUAUGUGAAGGUAUUUGACUUCAUGGAUUGGAUUCAGGCCAGCUGACAUUCCACCACAGUCUGAUAUUCACACAUUCUCCUAGAAAUUUUAUCAUGGGGACAUAAUGUAAGUGCUCUGGUGUGUGGUGGAACUUGAUUAGUAAUCAGCAUCUAAGGAUAGAGGUUUAGAGAUGUGUAUGAAACAAACGUCCACAGAUUUUUCUCAUCUGUCAGUUCUUUUGACACCAACACUCUGUCUGUACCUGCAAACUGUGCCAUGCUAUUGCAGCGAUGUAGAAAAAAGUCAACAUUUCCCACAAAAGUCUGUUACAGCAGAAAGUAACCCAGAAUAAAGUUCCUACUGACUGAAGUUGGGCAGUUUGCUGUCUAGUUCAGACUGUGCAGCAACAGAAUAGAAAUAAAAUACAGUUUUGAACACUUUGAAGAAUUACCAUUAACAAAAUAUAGCAGCAUAGGGCAUUUUUUUUUAAAUGGUAACAGUUCUAUCCGUGAAUACAGUGGAAAGAUGUAUGGGAAAAUGGAAGGCAGAAUUUAUCCUAAAGACCAGUAAAGCACAUACUACAGCCUCCCCUGACCUCUAGUAGUAUCUAGUGAAUGCUUUGUACGACAGUUUACUUUGUAGUUCUUUCUCUUUCUUUCGUCCAAGAAUUGUGAUAUCCUCAUGUUGUACCUGAUUCCACGUUGUUUCUCAAGAUCAUAUGUUCUUGUGCAUUACUUGCUUUUUUUCAUUUAUGAUUCAUUUCAUUUAUGAUUUAAGUGAACCAAGAAGCCAUCUUCAUGAGUGAAAAAUCACACUGACCUCACCUGAAAGAAGACUUCAAAAUCAUUCCAGUUAUUACAGACUGAAUCGUAACAUACUAGACAUUCAGCUAUUUUUUUAAUGUGUGCUUUAAUUGAACAAAAGCAUAUUUGAUGUGUUUAAUUUACACAUCUAUUACAGGGUAGAGCUUACUUAGCCACUCAGUUCUAGUACAAUUUGCUGCAAAGUUAGCCACAUUUUGGUCAAAUAAUCUUACAACCAAGACUGAUUUCUCUGAGCAUUUUUGCCAGCUGGGACUCUAUUAGGUUAGAGCAGUGUUUUAUUCAAUUAGGACCUGUGGGCACUAACGUAAAACCAAUAAAUAAUAAUAUGUUGUUGUAGAAUAGUUUGGAUAAAUAAUUACUUAAUUCCACAGAUAAAGUAAGAACUAUUUGCUGUUGUUGUGUCAUUGGCCACAGAAGUCCCAUGACAUUGCUUCCGCUCUCCGGCUGUAUGGUUGAAGAUUUUUCAAUGGGAGAGAGUGAGGGGCUGCCCAGCAAUAACCUAAUAAGCAGGAGGGGGAAGCUCAUUGAAAAACAGCACUGAGACAGUUGUGACUAGUUGCACAAAGUAAAUGUCAAGAAAGAAAUUCCUCUCUGGGAAAGCGUGUCAGGCAAGCCUCCGGCAUGUAUAUCUGGAUUUCACCCUCUAAAAUAACAUUAGCUGGACAACAUUUAGCUCCUACGUUUGCAGAUCUCAGCCUGACUCUGCCAAGUGCUGAUUCCAAUCCAUCCCAAUGGACUUCAGGGGCACCGAAGAGCAACUGAGCACACCGAGAGACAAUAUCCAUCAUUCUGCAGGAUCAGAGCCAUCACAUGAUACAAGAGGCCAGCUUUUCCUCUGACAUAUACAAGGGGAUGAAGUACUCAAAGAUCAAUACAGCAAACUGGUGCCAGCAGUGUUCACAUUACAGACGAAUCCUGCUUGGUCUGUGCUCCAUUCAGUCAGUCCAAGUCCACGGUACACCAGCAGGUGCAGAGCAAGCUCAUCCACCCCCAUGACACAACAUGUGAGGACAGAAACCUAUUUCCAACACAAUGAUGUCUACUGAACUUCUGUCUUCCUGAUGUGUCUUGUCUUCCCAGAGGCAACAUGCAGAGAGCUGGGCAAGGGAUCGUUUUGUUAUAAAACAACAGGUGAGCAUGAAACAGUCCAAUAGAAAAAGAAAUAUGCAAGGGACAGAGAAAAUGCGAAGUUGGGUGGUGCCUGAAAACACAUCCCCAUCACCCUUACACAGCACAUCCUAUAAAUAAAGCUGGAGUCAACGUGA